RNAcentral lists this long non-coding RNA (1277 nucleotides) under Fukomys damarensis (Damara mole-rat). RNAcentral's name for it is "lncRNA (ENSFDAG00000032756.1)". Lineage: Eukaryota; Metazoa; Chordata; Mammalia; Rodentia; Bathyergidae. The record is from RNAcentral.
AUGGUGGGGUCCAGGGGCCUGAGCCACCGGGACAGGUGCAGUGGCUGCUGGAGACAUGGUGGUAAAUGUGGAAUACACUCCUAUGACAUAAUGUCUGGUGUGGUAUAUAAACCAGUCACAGGCACUUGCCAUCAUUAUCUGGCACUGUAUUACAUACUGUACAUGAGUGUGUGUGCUAGGCUUAUCUUGGUUUUGGUUUUUAACAUUUUUUGUGAAUUUUUUGAGACAGAGUUUCACUAUGUAGUUCAGGCUGGCCUGAAACUAUGUAGCCACGGCUGGCUUCAAACUUGUGGCGCUCCUCCUGCCUCAGCCUCCAGAGAGCUGGGACUGGAGGCAUGGACCACCAUGGCUGAGCAGCAUUGGUCCAGUGACUGUUACCCCGGAAGAGCCGAGACUGGCUUCCCUUUGGAGGCUCAGGCCCGGGCAGGUCUGAAGCUGGACGUGCCGUACGUUCCAGCGCUGUAUGGAUACCGGAGGGGGCCUGAGGACAGCCUGCCAGCAGAGGGCGCAGGGACACCGCCCCUUCCAUGCCCAGUGCCCUGCACUGAGGGGCGUUACAUGAACUUCCCCCGACUCGUCUGGUCUCACUCGCAUCUUCCCAGUGAGGGAACUGCUGCAGCGACUGGCCAGGUCGGAAGCCUGGAUUAGUAAGGUGCAGCUCACCUGCAGAGCCGCCACCUGCAGGUAAAAGGCUGGUGCAUUCAUAAGCCUGAACCCCGAAACCCAGAAGGUUGAAAUGCCAAAGGACUUAACGUUUCCCCUGUCGGAGAACUAAUGACACUCUUCUCAAACUCUUCUGUUAAAUUGAAAGAGAAGGGACAAGGAGGGCUGCCUGGGCCCUGAUCUACCGCAGGAAGGACAGCCACACCUUCCCCCACCAGGAGCUGCCAUCGCUCAAGCACCAGGAAGGUAGCUGUGCAGGCGCCCCUGAACCCCCCACACACACGUGCACUCUCAGACCUCCUGAUUGAGCCAGUCUUUGGACCCAUUCUGCAGAGGCAGAGGUGGUCAUAGAGGGUAUUUUUCUGAGUUCCCAACGUUGAAUAUCUUUAAAGAAAGGGCGUGGGAAACCUAUAGUAGAAUGGUGUGGAGUUCAACCGUUCAAAAGGUUGGGGAACUCAAUCUGGGCCUUGCAGCCCAAGGUCAGUCUGCAUCAUUGGGGUUCAGCCAUCAGCUAACUGAGAUCAGGGGUCUUGAGUCCUAGCACUGUCUGAGCCCCCAUCCUAAAUGGUAAAUAUACCAUAUUGAAAAGUUUGUUCACUGCAGACAUGUUUUGG